GAUGAACGCUAGCGGCAGGCCUAACACAUGCAAGUCGAGGGGCAGCACGUCUUCGGAUGGUGGCGACCGGCGCACGGGUGCGUAACGCGUAUGCAACCUACCUCUUACAGUGGGAUAGCCCAGAGAAAUUUGGAUUAAUACCGCAUAGAACAACAGGCCAGCAUUGGUCAAUUGUUAAACAUUCAUGGGUAAGAGAUGGGCAUGCGUUCUAUUAGUUAGUUGGAGUGGUAACGGCACCCCCAAGACAGCGAUAGAUAGGGGCCCUGAGAGGGGGAUCCCCCCGACACUGGGUACUGAGACACGGACCAGACUCCUACGGGAGGCAGCAGUGAGGAAUAUUGGACAAUGGGCGGGAGCCUGAUCCAGCCAUGCCGCGUG
RNAcentral lists this ribosomal RNA (378 nucleotides) under uncultured bacterium. Its description in RNAcentral is "bacterial SSU rRNA". It matches the Rfam family "Bacterial small subunit ribosomal RNA", at positions 28 to 403 of the family's 1533-position model. The record is from RNAcentral.